GAUGUCCAAGAUUAGCCAUGCAUGUCUCAGUAUAAGCUUCUAUACGGCGAAACUGCGAAUGGCUCAUUAAAACAGUUAUAGUUUAUUUGGUGGUCAGCAAUUACAUGGAUAACCGUGGUAAUUCUAGAGCUAAUACAUGUGCCCAAACCCGACUUCGUGGAAGGGUUGUGUUUAUUAAAUACAGAACCAACCCAGGCUCCGCCUGGCCUUGAGGUGAUUCAUAAUAACCGAACGAAUCGCAUGGCUAUGCCGGCGAUAGACCAUUCAAGUUUCUGACCUAUCAGCUAUCGUCGGUAGGGUAUUGGCCUACCGUGGCAAUGACGGGUAACGGAGAAUUAGGGUUCGAUUCCGGAGAGGGAGCCUGAGAAACGGCUACCACAUCUAAGGAAGGCAGCAGGCGCGCAAAUUACCCAAUCCUGACGCAGGGAGGUAGUGACAAGAAAUAACAAUACAGGGCAUACAUGUCUUGUAAUUGGAAUGAGUAAACUUUAAAUCACUUU
This 500-nucleotide ribosomal RNA is filed under the name uncultured eukaryote. RNAcentral describes it as "SSU rRNA". It matches the Rfam family "Eukaryotic small subunit ribosomal RNA", at positions 34 to 536 of the family's 1831-position model. The record is from RNAcentral.